UGCGUAGGCGGAACUCUAAGUCAGUGGUGAAAUCCUGCGGCUCAACCGUAGAACUGCCAUUGAUACUGAAGUUCUUGAAUGCAGUUGAGGUAGGCGGAAUGUGUAAUGUAGCGGUGAAAUGCUUAGAUAUUACACAGAACACCGAUUGCGAAGGCAGCUUGCUAAACUGUGAUUGACGCUGAUGCACGAAAGCGUGGGGAGCGAACAGGAUUAGAUACCCUGGUAGUCC
This 229-nucleotide ribosomal RNA is filed under the name uncultured bacterium. RNAcentral describes it as "partial 16S ribosomal RNA". It matches the Rfam family "Bacterial small subunit ribosomal RNA", at positions 568 to 796 of the family's 1533-position model. The record is from RNAcentral.